AUUGCCGCUGGCGGCGUGCCUAAUACAUGCAAGUCGAGCGAAUGGAUUAAGAGCUUGCUCUUAUGAAGUUAGCGGCGGACGGGUGAGUAACACGUGGGUAACCUACCCAUAAGACUGGGAUAACUCCGGGAAACCGGGGCUAAUACCGGAUAAUAUUUUGAACUGCAUAGUUCGAAAUUGAAAGGCGGCUUCGGCUGUCACUUAUGGAUGGACCCGCGUCGCAUUAGCUAGUUGGUGAGGUAACGGCUCACCAAGGCAACGAUGCGUAGCCGACCUGAGAGGGUGAUCGGCCACACUGGGACUGAGACACGGCCCAGACUCCUACGGGAGGCAGCAGUAGGGAAUCUUCCGCAAUGGACGAAAGUCUGACGGAGCAACGCCGCGUGAGUGAUGAAGGCUUUCGGGUCGUAAAACUCUGUUGUUAGGGAAGAACAAGUGCUAGUUGAAUAAGCUGGCACCUUGACGGUACCUAACCAGAAAGCCACGGCUAACUACGUGCCAGCCGCCGCGGUAAUACA
RNAcentral lists this ribosomal RNA (518 nucleotides) under Bacillus mycoides. Its description in RNAcentral is "bacterial SSU rRNA". It matches the Rfam family "Bacterial small subunit ribosomal RNA", at positions 34 to 527 of the family's 1533-position model. Lineage: Bacteria; Bacillati; Bacillota; Bacilli; Caryophanales; Bacillaceae. The record is from RNAcentral.